RNAcentral lists this transfer RNA (84 nucleotides) under Microcaldota archaeon. Its description in RNAcentral is "Candidatus Micrarchaeota archaeon (hot springs metagenome) tRNA-Ser". It matches the Rfam family "tRNA". Rfam says of the family: Transfer RNA (tRNA) molecules are approximately 80 nucleotides in length. Their secondary structure includes four short double-helical elements and three loops (D, anti-codon, and T loops). Further hydrogen bonds mediate the characteristic L-shaped molecular structure. tRNAs have two regions of fundamental functional importance: the anti-codon, which is responsible for specific mRNA codon recognition, and the 3' end, to which the tRNAs corresponding amino acid is attached (by aminoacyl-tRNA synthetases). tRNAs cope with the degeneracy of the genetic code in two manners: having more than one tRNA (with a specific anti-codon) for a particular amino acid; and 'wobble' base-pairing, i.e. permitting non-standard base-pairing at the 3rd anti-codon position. Lineage: Archaea; Nanobdellati; Microcaldota. The record is from RNAcentral.
GCCGGGGUGGCGGAAUCCGGUAACGCGUACGCCUGGAGAGCGUAUGCCCUCACGGGCUCAUGGGUUCAAAACCAAACCCAGGGG